Molecule: non-coding RNA, 23 nt
Filed under: Mus musculus (house mouse)
Lineage: Eukaryota; Metazoa; Chordata; Mammalia; Rodentia; Muridae
Source: RNAcentral
UCAGAUGACAUGCUCCCCUGCUC